UAACACCUAGAGGAAAGGUGUCCUGGCCAGAGGGAAGAGCCGGCGCAAAGGCCCCGAGUUUGCAGGAAUGACACGUGUACAAGCCGGCGGGCGGCCGCUGCGAACCGGGUUCUGCGGUGAGCGGGGCGCCGGGGCUCGGCCUGGGGCCACCUCCGCCUGGGGACGUCGUGGAGAAGCCGGGCUCCAGGGCCCCAGCCCCGGCCGCCAGGCGCCAUCGCAGGCGGGGCAGGGAGCCGGGGGUCCCCGGCAGCGGCGCGCGGGCGUGGGCGGCCGCACCCACUCCGGCCCGGGCCGCACGGCCGCCCGCACUUGCCCUCUGGCGGCGGAAGCGCGCAGCGCGUGUCGAGCAGGGAACCUGGACCCGUUCAGCUUCCAUUUCAGCGUGCUGCUGUCUGGGUCUCCUUGGGCACCGCGACGAACAGCGCGAGGACAGGACCCAGCAGACCGUGGGGCGCGUCGGGCAGCGGUUCCCAGUGCAAGUGUCUUUUGCUGCUGACCGACCUCAGACCCGGCCCUCCUGGAGAUCUCCUCUCCCUCGGGAUCCCUGUGGCCUCCUACCCAGUUCCCACGUAGCCUGACCCACCAGGACCAGGUUGGGAGCUUUAUGAAUUUUAACACGUUAGGAUAGCCGUCACUACAACAGGAUACAAAAUGUUUCCAUCGCCCCAAAAAACUCCCUCCUGCUGGGGCUUUAUAGGCACAGCCCCCCGUCUGAGCCCCGGCAGCCACCGCUCUGCCCUCCGUCACCACAGCUCUACCUUUUGGAAUGUCGUACAAAUGGAACCAGACUGUGCGACCUUGGGGACCAGCUUCUUUCACUCAGCGCGAUGUCUUCGAGAUUCAUCUGGGUGGUUGUGUGAUCAAUAGUUUGUGUCUUUCCGCAACUCCCCAGUGUUUCCUGGUGUAGAUGGCCACAGUCUGUCUGCCCAUUCAUCCAUGAAAACAUAUUUGGGUUCUUUCCAGCUCUUACAAAUAAAGCUGCUGCCAGUAUUCACUACAAGUCUUUGUGUGAACAGACAUCUUCAUUCCUCUAGGCUGAAUGCCCAGGGGUGGGGUUGCGGCAUCCUAGGAUAAGCAUGUAGCUGCAGUCAUAGGAAACUGAGAAACCGGUUUCCAGAGCGCCUACCUCAUGUUGCACUCCAAGCCUCAACAUGUGAGGGUUCCAGUUGCUUCACGUCCUUGUCAGCACUUGGUAUUAUCAGUAUUUCCUCUUUUAGUCAUUCUGAUGAGCGUGGUGAUAUCUCCUCAAGGUUCUAAUUUGCAUUUCCCUAGCGGCUAACUAACGGUGUUGAACACGUUUUCAUAUGCUUGUUUGCCAUCUGUACAUCCUCUCUGGUGAAGGGUCUGUCCAAGACCUUUGCUGUUUGUAAAUUGUGUUGUCUUUCUUGUGUUGAGUUUCGAGAGCUCUUUUAUGUUCUGCAUACAAGUCCUUUUCAGAUAUUUGGUUUGCAAGUACUUUCUCCCAAACUGUCUCUUCUCCAUCAUUCUCUUGACAGUGUCUUUGGCUGUAAAAGGGUAAAAGUUUUUAGUUUUGAUGAAAUGUAAUUUAGCUAUUUUUUUUCUUUUAUGGGUCAUGCUUUUGGUGUCAUUUCUACAAACUCUUUGAUUAACCCCAUGUCAUGAAGAUUUGCUCCUACUUUUCCUUGUGAAAGUUUUAUAGUCCAUGUUUGACAUCGAGACCUGGACUCUCUCUGGGUUUGUCUUUACACAAGGUGGGAGGUCUAGGUCAAGGUUCAUCUCUCUGAAUGUGGAUGACCAGUUGUUUCAGCACUGUUUACUGAAAACCCUUUUCUUUCUCCACUGAGUUGCACUUGCACAGUUGUCAGAGAUUUUUGUGGGUCUCUUUCUGGACUAUCUUCUGUUCCAUUGAUCUGUGUUUGCACCUGUCACUUCACCAACACUAUGCUGUCUCAAGUCCCGUGGCUGUGCAGGAAGUGUUAAAAUCAGGCAGCGAGAUUCCUACGACUUUGUUCUUCUUCAAAUUGUUUUAGUUAUUCGAGUUCAUUGCCCUUCCACAAAAAUUUUAGAAUUGGCUUGUCCACAUCAACAAAAAAAUCUUUCUGGAAUUUUGGCUGGUAAUGUGUUAAACCUAUAAUCACUUUCGGGAGAACUGACAUCUUAACUAUGCUGAGUCUUCAAAUCCAUGAACACGAAACCGUCCACUUCUGCAUUUGUGAUGCAUUUGCGGACAAAUGGCAGGAGGAUGUAGAGGAAAAAAGGCUGCCAAUAAGCGAGUUCACCAAGGUUCCAGGAUCUAAGAUCAAUACACAAAAACCAACUGCAUUUCUAUAUGUCAGCAAUGAGCUACCCGAAAUGAAAUUGAGAGAACAAUUCCAUUCACAACAGCAUUGAAAAGAAUAAAAUACUGAGGGGUAAGUUUCACAAGAGGAGUGCAAGACCAUACACUAAACCACACAGCAUUUCUAAGAGCUAUGAAGGAACCUCUAAGUGAACGGAGAGACAUUCGAUGUUCGCGGAUGGGAGACCCAGUACUGUUAAGAGGGCAAUACUCCUCAAGUUGAUAAUGCAAUCCCUACCAAACUGUGAGUGGAUCUUUGGGGGGUGGGCAGAAAUUAGCAAUCUGACUAUAAAAUUUCUAUGAAAAUGCAAGGACACAGAAUAACCAAAACAAUUUUGAAAAGGAACCAAGUUGGAGAAUUUACAGUUUCCAAUUUUAAAACACUAUAAAGCUACAAGAAUAAAGACAGUGUGUUCUGGCACAAGAUUGACAUAUAGAUCAAUGGAACACAACUGAGAGUCCAGAAGUAAACCCAUAGACUUUUGGCCAAUUGAUUUUUGAUAAAGGUGACAAGGCUUUCAAAGGGGAAAAGGAUACUCUUUUCAACAAAUGGUGCGAUGACAAUCAGAUGUCCACAUGUAAGAGGAACUGGACCCUUACCUCACACCACACACAAAAAUUAACUCAAGGGGGCUGGCCUUGUGGCCGAGUGGUUUGGUUCGUGCCCUCUGCUUUGGCGGCCCAGGGUUUCACCAGUUUGGAUCCUGGGCGUGGACAUGGCAUCACUCAUUAAGCCAUGCUGAGGUGGCGUCCCACAUGCCACAACUAGAAGGACCCACAACUAAAAUAUACAACUAUGUACUGGGAGGAUUGGGGGAGAAAAAGCAGGAAAAAAAAAGAAGAUUGGCAACAGUUGUUAGCUCAGGUGCCAAUCUUUAAAAAAAAAUUUGACUCAAAAUCAACAGUAAACCUAAAUGUAAGAGCUAAAGCCAUAAAACUUUAAAAAGGAAACAUAAGAGAAAAUCUUUGCGACCCUGCGUUCUUCGGUGUUCUUAGGUGCAACACCAAAAACAGGAUCUGUGACAGAAAAAAUAGACAUGCUGGACUUGAUCAACAGUAACAAUUUUGUGCUUCAAACAACAGUAGAAAGAAAAUGAAAAUUGGUCUAAACCAUUUCCAAAUCAUGUAUGUAAAAAAGAACUUGCAACUCAAAAAAGAACACUUGCAACUCAAAAAU
Molecule: long non-coding RNA, 3476 nt
Filed under: Equus caballus (horse)
Lineage: Eukaryota; Metazoa; Chordata; Mammalia; Perissodactyla; Equidae
Description: lncRNA (ENSECAG00000048438.1)
Source: RNAcentral